This 497-nucleotide ribosomal RNA is filed under the name uncultured bacterium. RNAcentral describes it as "partial 16S ribosomal RNA". It matches the Rfam family "Bacterial small subunit ribosomal RNA", at positions 28 to 507 of the family's 1533-position model. The record is from RNAcentral.
GAUGAACGCUGGCGGCGUGCCUAAUACAUGCAAGUCGAGCGAACGGACGAGAAGCUUGCUUUUCUGAUGUUAGCGGCGGACGGGUGAGUAACACGUGGAUAACCUACCUAUAAGACUGGGAUAACCUCGGGAAACCGGAGCUAAUACCGGAUAAUAUUUUGCACCGCAUGGUUCAAAAGUGAAAGACGGUCUUGCUGUCACUUCUAGAUGGAUCCGCGCUGCAUUAGCUAGUUGGUAAGGUCACGGCUUACCAAGGCAACGAUGCAUAGCCGACCUGGGAGAGGGGUCGCCCACCUGGGAGCUGGGCCAGGGUCCAGGCGCCUGCGGGAGGCCGCAGUCGGGUAUCUUAGGCAGUAGGGGAGAGCAUGGCGCAGCGGGGCCGCGUGAGUUGUGGAGAUCUUCGGAUCGGGAAACUGUCUUAUGAGGUAAAAACCUAUGUGUAAGUAACUGUGGACAUCUUGACGGUACCUAAUCAGAAAGCCACGGCUAACUACGUG